GAUGAACGCUGGCGGCGUGCCUAAUACAUGCAAGUCGAGCGAACAGACGAGGAGCUUGCUCCUCUGACGUUAGCGGCGGACGGGUGAGUAACACGUGGAUAACCUACCUAUAAGACUGGGAUAACUUCGGGUAACCGGAGCUAAUACCGGAUAAUAUAUUGAACCGCAUGGUUCAAUAGUGAAAGACGGUUUUGCUGUCACUUAUAGAUGGAUCCGCGCCGCAUUAGCUAGUUGGUAAGGUAACGGCUUACCAAGGCGACGAUGCGUAGCCGACCUGAGAGGGUGAUCGGCCACACUGGAACUGAGACACGGUCCAGACUCCUACGGGAGGCAGCAGUAGGGAAUCUUCCGCAAUGGGCGAAAGCCUGACGGAGCAACGCCGCGUGAGUGAUGAAGGUCUUCGGAUCGUAAAACUCUGUUAUUAGGGAAGAACAAAUGUGUAAGUAACUAUGCACGUCUUGACGGUACCUAAUCAGAAAGCCACGGCUAACUACGUG
Molecule: ribosomal RNA, 497 nt
Filed under: uncultured bacterium
Lineage: Bacteria
Description: partial 16S ribosomal RNA
Rfam family: Bacterial small subunit ribosomal RNA
Source: RNAcentral